CUCAGUGUGUGCCUGGGACCUGCGGAGGCCAGCAGAGGGCGUGAACUCCUUUGGAACUGGACUUAUAGGUGAAGUUUCACUUCUGGAGUGUACUAUCCUCCAUCGGCAACUUCUGUUUUCCAAAUCCUCGUUAAAGCUGGAGACGCUCCGACGCAAAGACUCGGUCCGUAAUCCAGCAUUCAAGCUCCCAUGUGGGUCCCGGGAGUCAAACCUGGGUCUUCAGCAAGAGCAGGAAGUGAGUGCUCUUAACCUCAGAGCCAUCUCUCCAGCCCAACUGUUUCUUUCCCUUUUCAGAGCUCCCUACUAGAUAUGGUGACAGUUUUGAGAAGAAUGUAACAAGCCAAACUGCACACUCCUGCUGCCACAGCCAGGAGCUGCUCUAGACUCCAACCUGCCAAACUUGUCUGCAGCAGAGGCAGCACCUUAUUCUCCUGCAUUGAUGGAUCGGGGUUCUAAGCUCACAUUCUCUCAACGAUUGUCUCUCAUAGUUACAGCCAGCCUAGUGAGCAGAAAGCUAUAUUCUGUUAUGGGGGUCUCUAUAUGCAGCCCUGGCUGGCCUGGAACUCUCUACAUAGACCAGGCUGGCCUCAAACUCAC
Molecule: long non-coding RNA, 597 nt
Filed under: Cricetulus griseus (Chinese hamster)
Lineage: Eukaryota; Metazoa; Chordata; Mammalia; Rodentia; Cricetidae
Description: lncRNA (ENSCGRG00015032645.1)
Source: RNAcentral